UGAGACUCAAAAUCUCAAGUUGCUUAGGCGACGUGCGGGUUCAAGUCCCGCCCUCGGCA
RNAcentral lists this transfer RNA (59 nucleotides) under Candidatus Endomicrobiellum trichonymphae. Its description in RNAcentral is "Candidatus Endomicrobium trichonymphae tRNA". It matches the Rfam family "tRNA", at positions 25 to 71 of the family's 71-position model. Rfam says of the family: Transfer RNA (tRNA) molecules are approximately 80 nucleotides in length. Their secondary structure includes four short double-helical elements and three loops (D, anti-codon, and T loops). Further hydrogen bonds mediate the characteristic L-shaped molecular structure. tRNAs have two regions of fundamental functional importance: the anti-codon, which is responsible for specific mRNA codon recognition, and the 3' end, to which the tRNAs corresponding amino acid is attached (by aminoacyl-tRNA synthetases). tRNAs cope with the degeneracy of the genetic code in two manners: having more than one tRNA (with a specific anti-codon) for a particular amino acid; and 'wobble' base-pairing, i.e. permitting non-standard base-pairing at the 3rd anti-codon position. The record is from Rfam by way of RNAcentral. Lineage: Bacteria; Pseudomonadati; Elusimicrobiota; Endomicrobiia; Endomicrobiales; Endomicrobiaceae.